AGAGUGGUUGGGAGAGACAGAGAGAGAGAGAGAGAGAGAGAGAACCUGGGAAUUGGAAGAAAAAAAAGAAGCGAGAGUGUCUGCUUGGGACCUUCUAAAGAUGGGCAAAGAGAGUGUUGAAAUAAGGAGACAGAUUAUUGAAAAAAGAGAGAAAAAUCCAGUCUUGGCCUUUCUUAAACACACCUGCCUGAAGAUCUGAAGGCAAUAAUGGAUCCAGACAGUGUGCGGUCCAACCCUUCCUUCUAUCAAAUGGUCCUUUAACUGCGUCUGAAAGGCAGCACAUCUCAAGCAAUGCUUGAAACUACAGCAAAAUAAGUGCUUCCGCCCUUCGCAGCACCUGGUCACAAUUGCCUCUUAUCACACAGAAACGCUCCAGCUGCCCCUAAGUUUGGUUCCUCUGAGCAUUCGGCUUGUGCCCCGCCCCUCCCCUCCAGCAUAAUAGGGGAACAUCACGACGCAAAUGGCUCAGAAAUACCCACACACGCUGCCAUGGUGUUGGCAUGUACUUCUUCCAAAUCUGCUCUUGUGAGAAAGUGUUCUCUGGGGGAAACUAACAAAACAGGAUACUUCACCACGAAGACGCUGAGCAUUCAGAUAUCAGCUGCACCUUCCUCCUUUAUCCAUGUUCAAAAUAGCCCAAACACAGACGAGGGUCUCUGGAAUCCUGUCAUGGAGACCAACCUUUCAUAAAGGAAAGAGUCCAGAAGUGCCGAAAGUUCAGUGGGAAUUCACGCUGGACUCCAUCUGCCAUUGGAGCUUGGACUUCAGGCAAUUUGGAUCUUGGUAGGUGUUGAGGCGGCUGCCAAGGUUGGAAAGAGCUUGGUAAACAGCAAGGAAGAGUAAGGUACAGCAUGUCCAGCAGGAGGAGGAGCAUGAGCAAAGCACAAAGGAGCUGGGGAAAAUACUGGCGAGUUUGAGGAAGGAUGGAAAUGGGGAGCUUAUGGAAUAGAAGGCAUGGGUAGAAGAGAAAAGUUAGCAGGGACAAAGCCAGCAAGGUAGCCUGCUGCUCUCUGUGUGUCCGCAUAUCCACCACCCAGUGCAGGCUGACCAGCAUGGAUCACGUGGACAGGCUCUCUGCCCUCUGGCCUCCUGUUGUUCUGCCACUGGGAAGCAGUGGCAGGAGUCAGGGUUGGGGAGGAAGCAAGGUCCAUCCACCAGCUGUCUAUAUCCCUCCAUCAAAGAUCACUGCCCCUGGCUAGUGACCCUCUCCACACAGCCCUGUCUGGUGGCAGCCAUGAUCUCUUCCCCUUAUACCUUCAGGCCUAAAAGUGUUAACAGUGCCUUCCUGUUCGUGGCCCCAGGGUCCUGACUGUCCCUUACAGUUUUCCUAGACCUUGGCUGCACCUUUGUAAAUAUCCACUUUAUUAAACUCUGCUCAAAUUACCCAGUUUGAGGAUGCCAUCUUUUCCCUGUAGGAUCCCUGACUAUUACAGGUAGCUUGUGCAAUACGCCCUCGUGAAAGAGUCUGCACUUUAUCCUGAAGACAAAGAGCAGGCAGGGAACCAAAAUGAAGAACUCUGCAAAGGCCAGCUCAAAGAAUCACUGAUGGUAAUAAAUGGUAGCACACUUGAGCUUGUCUCUUUCUUCUCCAGGGGACAGCCCUCUUUGGCAGGGAAGGAGCUGGGAAGAAGACACAGGAGCCCAUGAAACAAAUCCAUCUGCAGGCUCUCCUCCAUCUUUGCUUUGUCUCCAGUCCUGCCCUCACUGGCCAGUGUGUGUCACCCCACACUAUGGGACACACUGGAUGAAGAAAUGGGGCUUCAUUCAGUCCCUGGACAAGUUAGGCCAGCCUGGCAGUUGUCCAAAUCAGACACUUUUUUUUUGCAAUUACACUGAUUAAACCAGGAUGUAUUCAGGCAAACUGGGAAGAACAGUAUAGAUUAGCCACAUGGAGUCACACUAGAAAAGGGGCUAGAAUUACCUUGCU
Long non-coding RNA from Symphalangus syndactylus (siamang), 1927 nucleotides. RefSeq lists it as uncharacterized. The record is from RefSeq and is a predicted model, not a curated record. NCBI's taxonomy places the organism in Eukaryota, Metazoa, Chordata, Mammalia, Primates, Hylobatidae.